Molecule: non-coding RNA, 860 nt
Filed under: Sarcophilus harrisii (Tasmanian devil)
Lineage: Eukaryota; Metazoa; Chordata; Mammalia; Dasyuromorphia; Dasyuridae
Source: Rfam by way of RNAcentral
AAGCACAAAGGUUUGGUCCUGGCCUUACUGUUAAUUUUUAUUAGACCUACAUAUGCAAGUUUCCACAACCCAGUAAGUAUGCCCUUUUAACUUCCAUUGAGUUUAAAGGAGCAGGUAUCAGGCACACUUCCCAAAGUAGCCCAUGACACCUUGUUUAACCACACCCCCACGGAUUACAGCAGUGACUAACAUUGAGCUAUAAAUGAAAGUUUGACUAAAUCAUAAUAAAAAGGGUUGGUAAAUCUCGUGCCAGCCACCGUGGUCAUAUGAUUAACCCAAAUUAACAGAAGAACAGCAUAAAGGGUGUUUAAGCAUUCAAUUCACCAAAUAAAGUUAAAGCUCAACUGUGCUGUAAUACUCCCUAGUUGAUAUUAAAAUACGCAACUUAAGUGACUUUACCCAUGCUGAAGACACUAAAGCUAAGGUAUAAACUGGGAUUAGAGACCUCACUAUGCUUAGCCGUAAACUGAGGUAAUUAAAUAACAAAAUUACUCGCCAGAGAACUACUAGCCGCCACUGCUUAAAACUCAAAGGACUGGUAGUGCCCUAGACCCUCCAAGAGGAGCCUGUUCUAUAAUCGAUAAACCCCGAUACACCUCACCCCUUCUCAUUUAUCAGUCUAUAUACCGCCAUCAUCAGCUCAUCCCAACAGGGUUCCAAAGUGAGCAAAAUCAUGAAAUCAUAAAAACGUUAGGUCAAGGUGUAGCAUAUGAAGGGGGAAGCAAUGGGCUGCAUUUUCUAUGUUAGAACACAAUGGAUUGUCUAUUGAAACAAAGACAUGAAGGAGGAUUUAGUAGUAAAUUAAGAAUUUUUAAGAAACUACAAUAAAUUAAACUGAACUUCCACAGAACAUUACUAAG